Molecule: ribosomal RNA, 253 nt
Filed under: uncultured bacterium
Lineage: Bacteria
Description: partial 16S ribosomal RNA
Rfam family: Bacterial small subunit ribosomal RNA
Source: RNAcentral
GACGUAGGGCGCGAGCGUUGUCCGGAUUUAUUGGGCGUAAAGAGCUCGUAGGCGGCUCGUUGCGUCGGCUGUGAAAACCCGCAGCUCAACUGUGGGCUUGCAGCUGAUACGGGCGGGCUGGGAUUCGGUAGGGGAGACUGGAAUCCCUGGUGUAGCGGUGAAAUGCGCAGAUAUCAGGAGGAAUACCCGUGGCGAAGGCGGUCCACUGGGCAUCAACUGACGCUGAGGCGCGAAAGCGUGGGUAGCAAACAGG